CAGCGUCAUGGCAACUAGCAUCUCCCUUUGUAAGCUGGUAAACUGGUCUAGAGAAAUUCCAUUACCAAGACUCUUCAUUUGCAUUCCUCUAAAAUAAGUUGUGCUGCUUCAAAAAGCCUUAAAGGCUUCAUCAAGCACUGCAUAAACUAAGUAGAUCAUGUAUAAAUAAUGUAUCGGCUAUCACUACGCUUUAAUCUUUACAGGAUCUUUAGACCAGGUUAGUCAGAAUGACUCUGGCAGCUGGUUCCUGGUCCUGCGACUGACUCCAGGUCUGCAGUUUGCUGUCCAAUUCAGCACUGCCUCCAGCAUGGCUUUGCUGCUGCAAAGGCAAGCUCCCUGCAUGGCACCCUUCACUGCGGUGGGACCUUCUCAGGGAAAAGAUGCUACUUGGCUUUGCUACGUAUUUCCUACAGCACUUGUCCAAGCAUCUCUUCCAUAAAAGAUAACGGAUUAGAACCGUCAGCGUAAAUCAGACUACGUGCUGAUGAUGGAUCGCGUGCUUCAACCUCACGACAGCAGGGUCGCAUUACAGGCACUAGCCAAUGUCAAAGUCAGUGGCCAUGUCUCCUGAGCGCGGAAGCCACCUGCUCCAGCUGUGCCUACCUGCCCUACAGGCACUGGGACCGUGGCUUUAGAAACACCACCUUCGGCCGCCGCUGACCGCCAGGCCCUUCUACAGCCAGCGAGAGACCGAAGCUUCCCUCGCUUUUCCCCAGGGCAGCCAGACCCGCUCACAGGGCUCCCCACUUACUCCUCCUUACGGUGCAGCUCCUCCUCGGACUCGGUGAGCCGCUGCUUCAAGGCCGCGAUCAUCUCCACCGCCACGUCCACCUGCCGGCUCAGGGCGCGCUCCCGCCGCUGCACCUCCUGCUUCUUCUGGGAGAGCUGCACGAAGGCCGCCCGCACCUCCAGCAGCUCCGCCGUUUUCUGAGCCAGCUCUUUGAGCUGGAUCCACUACGAACAGCUUCGCUGCAUUCAUCAGCCUCUGCUCUCCCUUGUUUGCUCACUGGUUGGUUUUGAAGAGGAGUGUCGGAGAGGUUAGUCUCUGCUCAUUGUGCCCACUCU
This 1065-nucleotide long non-coding RNA is filed under the name Gallus gallus (chicken). Its description in RNAcentral is "long non-coding RNA NONGGAT008017". Lineage: Eukaryota; Metazoa; Chordata; Aves; Galliformes; Phasianidae. The record is from RNAcentral.